UAGGGAAUCUUGCGCAAUGGGCGAAAGCCUGACGCAGCAACGCCGCGUGCGGGAAGAAGGCUCUCGGGUUGUAAACCGCUUUCAGUAGGAACGAAAUUGACGGUACCUGCAGAAGAAGGUGCGGCCAACUACGUGCCAGCAGCCGCGGUGACACGUAGGCACCAAGCGUUGUCCGGAUUUAUUGGGCGUAAAGAGCUCGUAGGCGGUUCAGUAAGUCGGGUGUGAAAACUCAGGGCUCAACCCUGAGCUGCCACCCGAUACUGCUGUGACUUGAGUCUGGUAGGGGAGUGGGGAAUUCCUGGUGUAGCGGUGAAAUGCGCAGAUAUCAGGAGGAACACCGGUGGCGAAGGCGCCACUCUGGGCCACGACUGACGCUGAGGAGCGAAAGCAUGGGUAGCAAACAGG
RNAcentral lists this ribosomal RNA (405 nucleotides) under uncultured bacterium. RNAcentral's name for it is "bacterial SSU rRNA". It matches the Rfam family "Bacterial small subunit ribosomal RNA", at positions 355 to 776 of the family's 1533-position model. The record is from RNAcentral.